CCCGUGAACCAUCGAGUCUUUGAACGCAAGUUGCGCCCGAAGCCCUAGGCUUAGGGCACGUCUGCCUGGGCGUCACAC
Molecule: ribosomal RNA, 78 nt
Filed under: Callianthemum sp. US:Tibet-MacArthur2955
Lineage: Eukaryota; Viridiplantae; Streptophyta; Magnoliopsida; Ranunculales; Ranunculaceae
Description: partial 5.8S ribosomal RNA
Rfam family: 5.8S ribosomal RNA
About the family: 5.8S ribosomal RNA (5.8S rRNA) is a component of the large subunit of the eukaryotic ribosome. It is transcribed by RNA polymerase I as part of the 45S precursor that also contains 18S and 28S rRNA.
Source: RNAcentral